GUUGCGCCCGAAGCCUUCGGGCCGAGGGCACGCCUGCCUGGGCGUCACAC
RNAcentral lists this ribosomal RNA (50 nucleotides) under Chaenomeles thibetica. RNAcentral's name for it is "partial 5.8S ribosomal RNA". Lineage: Eukaryota; Viridiplantae; Streptophyta; Magnoliopsida; Rosales; Rosaceae. The record is from RNAcentral.